GACAGAGGUGCCGAGCGUUAGGCGGAAUCACUGGGCUUAAAGCGUGUGUAGGCGGGUCCGUAAGUACCUUGUGAAAUCCCACGGCUCAACCGUGGAACUGCUGGGUAUACUGGUUGUCUUGAGCCAGCUAGGGGCGAGCGGAACAGACGGUGGAGCGGUGAAAUGCGUAGAUAUCGUCUGGAACGCCGAAGGUGAAAACAGCUCGCUGGGGCUGCGCUGACGCUGAGACACGAAAGCCAGGGGAGCGAACGGG
Molecule: ribosomal RNA, 253 nt
Filed under: uncultured bacterium
Lineage: Bacteria
Description: partial 16S ribosomal RNA
Rfam family: Bacterial small subunit ribosomal RNA
Source: RNAcentral